UACGAAGGGGGCUAGCGUUGCUCGGAAUCACUGGGCGUAAAGGGUGCGCAGGCGGAUCGUUAAGUCAGGGGUGAAAUGCCGAGGCUCAACCUCGGAACUGCCUUUGAUACUGGCGAUCUUAGAGUCCGGGAGAGGUGAGUGGAACUCCGAGUGUAGAGGUGAAAUUCGUAGAUAUUCGGAAGAACACCAGUGGCGAAGGCGGCUCACUGGCCCGGUACUGACGCUCAGGUGCGAAAGCGUGGGGAGCAAACAGG
RNAcentral lists this ribosomal RNA (254 nucleotides) under uncultured bacterium. Its description in RNAcentral is "partial 16S ribosomal RNA". It matches the Rfam family "Bacterial small subunit ribosomal RNA", at positions 524 to 776 of the family's 1533-position model. The record is from RNAcentral.